AGCAACGAGGUGAAUGACAUGGGAGACAGACCUGGGGUCUUUUAGGGACGGAAAGCCUCAGCCAAAACCCAGACUCCCAGGGUCAUCAACCUCCCCGGGUCACUAACCCUCCCCAGUGUCUGUCUACCCCUGAGUCCAGAGAACACGUCCUCUCUAGGCUCGAGCCGGAAUCAAUAUAGGCUACAGGAGCAUCAGUGCAGGCUGCGCGGAGGAGAGAAGGAGGUGCUCCGGAAUCAAUAUAGGCUACAGGAGCAUCAGUGCAGGCUGCGCGGAGGAGAGAAGGAGGUGCUGAUGUGGAGUCCUCCCUCCCCCUCCUCUUUCACCCCCAAGUGUCUCCCUCGACUGCCCUCCCCCACCUCUAGCUGACCAUGGCUUCAGAGGCAGAGAAAACAUUCCAUCGGUUUGCUGCCUUUGGAGAAUCAUCAAGCAGUGGCACUGAAAUGAACAACAAGAACUUCUCCAAGCUGUGCAAAGACUGUGGCAUCAUGGAUGGCAAGACAGUCACCUCCACGGAUGUGGACAUCGUGUUCAGCAAAGUCAAGUGAGGAGCCAAAGAUAUGGGGGUGGGGGUGAGAAGAACCUGUGAGGUAGUUGGCCACGGAAGGGUUCAUGUGGUGGAACAUUUGCAGUGGGCCUACCAAGCACCACAGGGUACCUGGUGCUGUAUUAUUCUUUGUCUUCAAGACACUCACUGAUAGGACAAAAGAGGCCAAAUCUGAGUGAGGCAAGAGUUGGACUUUGGAAGGUAAUGCAUUCAUGCUCCAAAGUUUCUGGAUUUCUGUCUAACUGAC
This 791-nucleotide small RNA is filed under the name Pongo abelii (Sumatran orangutan). Its description in RNAcentral is "retained intron". The record is from RNAcentral. Lineage: Eukaryota; Metazoa; Chordata; Mammalia; Primates; Hominidae.